GGAUCCAGACUUUGUUCUGGCUCAGGAUGAACGCUAGCUACAGGCUUAACACAUGCAAGUCGAGGGGCAGCGGGGUUGAAGCUUGCUUCAAUUGCCGGCGACCGGCGCACGGGUGAGUAACGCGUAUCCAACCUUCCGUACACUCAGGGAUAGCCUUUCGAAAGAAAGAUUAAUACCUGAUGGUAUGAUGAGAUUGCAUGAUAGCAUCAUUAAAGAUUUAUCGGUGUACGAUGGGGAUGCGUUCCAUUAGGUAGUAGGCGGGGUAACGGCCCACCUAGCCAACGAUGGAUAGGGGUUCUGAGAGGAAGGUCCCCCACAUCGGAACUGAGACACGGUCCAAACUCCUACGGGAGGCAGCAGUGAGGAAUAUUGGUCAAUGGACGAGAGUCUGAACCAGCCAAGUAGCGUGAAGGAUGAAGGUCCUACGGAUUGUAAACUUCUUUUAUAAGGGAAUAAACCCUCCCACGUGUGGGAGCUUGUAUGUACCUUAUGAAUAAGCAUCGGCUAACUCCGUGCCAGCAGCCGCGGUAAUACGGAGGAUGCGAGCGUUAUCCGGAU
This 558-nucleotide ribosomal RNA is filed under the name uncultured Bacteroidota bacterium. Its description in RNAcentral is "bacterial SSU rRNA". It matches the Rfam family "Bacterial small subunit ribosomal RNA", at positions 1 to 550 of the family's 1533-position model. Lineage: Bacteria; Pseudomonadati; Bacteroidota. The record is from RNAcentral.